GCUGGAUGAAUUUGCCGAUAUGAUUCUGCUUCCUCAUCCCAGGCAGAAGAACAUCUAUUCUUCCUUUUUCGGGGGGCUUAGUUGAAGCCUUGCGCUUCGGUUACUCUCUUACCACUGCCCAGAGUACGUGUGGUUCCUUGGAAAGCACAGAGCAACUCACGCCAAGCACUCCGCCUGUGUUUGGCAGGGCACGAUGCGCUGCGCUGAGCCUCGAGCAUGGCAGCCUCCGUGCCCAAAGAGCAGCAAUACUUAGCCCAUCCAUCUUUGCUGGUGGGAAGAUGUUCUAAAAACAGGAGAGCUGACUUCUUACGGGAGAGUUGGAUGCAAAAGAAAGACACUCAUUUCCCAGUAAAGAUUAAACCACAGUUGGGAUGCCAGAUGAACAAGGCAUUAAAAUCUACAGCCAAGAUGUAUUAGCAGACCUGCCUGACUCCAUGAGAGAGUAAAGCCAGCCUGAGGUAUGUGAAUGCUUCACUCAGACGGAAAGAUACAGCCGUGGUAAGUCCUCAGAGGAUGACUACUCAACUGCCUCAUCUUCCCAGCUUCAUCCAGGAAAAGAGACAUCCUUGUUGGGUGGAAACAUUCAAUGAGACAGGCAGGGAGGGCUUCUAUAUGUGGGCCCAGUGGGAGAAAACUUGCAAGAUGUCCCCAGGGAGGAAGCAAACACCAUUCUAACCUUGGGUACGCUUGAGCAAAGGAUGGCCUGGAGAGCAUGGUCUGGGCUUCAGUAUAAGAUUGCUCCUGAUCUGUGAAAAACCAAAUCAGGAGUGUUUUUUCAAGCUAGGAGAGAGAAGGGUAGGUUGCGUAGGUUUAGGCGUGAAGAGGCAGUACCUGUAGUACCUUAACUUGUCUAUCAAAUAUCAGAAUAUGACUCUGAUAGGAAGGCGAUCUUAGUUAUUGGAACCCUUUAUGUACAGUGACCUUUAAAAAAAACCCAACAAAACAGGACUUAAGAAAAAAAACCAUCCAUGCAAAACAAAAAAAAUCUUUAUCUGUGAACUUUUAAAGCUGCUUGCAUUUGUAGAUAUUUGUUGGAGCAAAAUCCAUUAGAAAACAGAAUGAACUGUGCUAGUCAGAAAACUCAGUGCAAGUCAUAAACUCCACAGGCUCAGCUCCAGAAUUCAGCUGCUGUGUCCUAAACAACGUGAGUCUAAUCUAACGUAUAAACAUCUCCAAAGCAUUCAUCACUGUAGUAUCUAGGUCAUGUACAUAGAUUUCAUAAUAUAGUGGGAUCUGUCCAGAAGGGAUGAUCAAUUUCCCAUUCAUCUGCUGUGCUGCCUAUUGGCUUUGCCAUUACAUUAAAAAUAAUGGAAGUUACUCUCUGAUCACAAGCACGUAAUUCACAAAUGGGCUGCCCCAAUGUGAUUUUAAUGCGGGCAUUCAGGUAAGAUUUAUCGUGUUUAGCUUUGCUAUUUUGCAGCUCCCCAGACAUUUCCCAAGAGCAGAGUCUCUGGCUGCAUCACUCCAUUCGCAUCCUGCUGUUUCCAGAGAGCAAAUUUGGCUUUCAGCAACCCCAGGAGAGAAAGCUAACUGGAAGGACAAAGGUAGGCUGUUUCAGAGAUACACACGUGCAUCUGCCACCUCUUUCAUUCCGGAGAGCUGGAAGCUGUUUGGGAACUUCGAUGUCCUGUGGGGAGACACAGACCAAGCAGGGACGGGCCUGGCCUGGCCUGGGGGCUGUUGUGUUUUAUGCCUAAGGGGCGUACAGAAAUCUCCACGCCCACCCAGCAACCAGCAGAAUAUGCUUUCUUCCCAUCCCUGGUAUUUCCUCUUGUGGCCUUUCUGCAAUGCUGGGUGCAAACAAAUGCAGUGUCCAAAUGCUGAAAGGCACGGAAGUUACCCCCAAAUUAUGCUGGUGACCCGCAGAAGAGCUGGGUACAUUUAUGCAUUGGAAAGACAGGUGCCCCAAAAGACUCUGGUGGCAGUGCUCCUUUAAAUUAGAAAAAAAAGAAAAGAAAAAGGGAAAAAAAAAAGCAGUGAGAACAGGAAUGGUUCUGAAAUGGAAAGUAUGUAAUAAAAACUGUUAUUUAUUAAUAGUGCUGCUGGAAACUCCCUGGAAACUGCAUCUGCCAGCAGCGAUAUCUGCAUGUCAAUCUAACUCCCUCUUUUUAUUCUGGAGCAAAAAAGCUGCAUUAUUGCUCUUGCUGCUGUGAUCCCCUCUCAGGCUGCUCUGAUACAUGCCUCUCCAGUUCCCUCCUUUUGGGACAAAUCCCCUCCCAUGCCAUCUGCCUCACGCUCCAGCUUCUCCUCAGCCCUCCCAGCACACAGCCCGGGCCGAGGCCCCUCAGCACCCUGCCUGAGCCCACAGCUACAAGCACUGUGCUGGGGGAAGUUUUGGAGCUCCCCGGUACUUCUGUCUGCCCUGAGAGCCUCAGUGAUGUUUCUGAGAUCGUGAGGGACUCUGAAGGACUGUGGCCGUAUCACCGCUGUGGGCUCAGAUGUUGCCAAAACACUGAAUAGACCCUGUGGUUCCUCUCCUGCUUGCAGGCCUUCCUGGCCAGGGCAGGAGGUGAUGGGACCUGAUGUUAACUUCGUAUCAUAUCCUGCAUCUCUUCUUUGCUCCGGUAGCCUCCAAAACCAUUGGCGUGCACAGGCAGCUAAAGCCACCAAGGUGACAGGGUAGCAUCCUGACAAAACCCUUGCUGGAGGGUAGAUAGAGGAUGAUGUGACAUUUUUCCAUCUACCAUCAUAAAACUGGUGGUGGGCCAACUUGGUGUCCAGUUUACUCCCUGUGUUUGAAGUUUUUUACUAGACAGCCUCUUCCAGGUGCUCUGAUCCAGGCACUGGCUUCGGAUGCUCUUCCCUAAAUCAAGCUGCGUGCCUGACUCUCCCCAUACAUUAACGAGCAAUCUGGUGCACUCCUGCAGCCAAGGAGCAGUGCGGCAAAGGAGCAGCUUACAUCAGAGCUGCAAUGAUGAGAGCUGGAUGUGGUGGAAAGGGAGCAGGCCUCUAGGAAAGAAGGCUCAGGGCACAUCCAGCGUACCAAAUUCUGCAGACUCCCUCGAACCCUUCGCUUUUUAACCCCGACAAGGUCACACUUCUGCUGGGUGAUGUCAGACCCAGUGAUCGAACUGCCGACCUGCAGCCAUCUAAGAGCAGGGAAAUGACUCUCAAGUAGGGCACAACGCCUCUGAUGUCUAACCCUAAGGAGAAUCAUUCAUCCUCCUCUUUCCUGAGAGGUGGAAGCGUACCAGCAGCACGGAGCUGCACAACAAGGACGAAGGACAGCCUGUCCUGUCCUAUGCAAAAAAGUCCCACUCUUGAAGCGAGGCUUCAGAACGGUGUGCGCGACUUUGAUUUGCAUCCAGAGUGGAAACACGCUUGCCAGCCAUCAGGCUGAUCUGAUUUGAAGCAGCUGAGAUAUUAAAUGCACUAAACCAGAAUGUAUAAUAGCUGCGCUGGCAGACCUUUAAUUAUUGUCGUGCUUGUGGGCACCGAUAUCAUUCAAAUUAAAAGCUUUCCCCACUACUUGCAUUUUUUUAAUACGUUGAUGUAUGCUGCACUGAUGGAUUGUCCUCUGUUGUCCUUCUCUCACAAAAUGCUUGGCACAAUUUGCCCCAGCGCAGAGCUAAAAACUAUUGGCACUCGCUUGCCGUAUUUCUGGUUCUCUCCUUGCUUCGUUUUGAAACGGGGACCCC
Molecule: long non-coding RNA, 3638 nt
Organism: Gallus gallus (chicken)
Lineage: Eukaryota; Metazoa; Chordata; Aves; Galliformes; Phasianidae
Source: Ensembl